Long non-coding RNA from Mauremys reevesii (Reeves's turtle), 1234 nucleotides. RefSeq lists it as uncharacterized. The record is from RefSeq and is a predicted model, not a curated record. NCBI's taxonomy places the organism in Eukaryota, Metazoa, Chordata, Testudines, Geoemydidae. The transcript has 3 exons.
UUCGGCAGCACAGCGCUCACGGGGUGGGGUACAGCAGGGCAGCGCUCUUCUUUUUUGCUUGGGGCAGCAAAAAAGUUAGAGCCGGCCCUGGUCUGGUAUAUCUUGGAGUACAAAGAGACACACUAGCAACAGCCUGUUUUAUGAAAGAAGGGUCACUGUCAGCCUGGCUGUACAAUACUGCAAGGAUUUUGGAAGCAAGGAACUACAUCGCUGCACUGUACUAAGACAAGGAUCAUUGCAUCAACUUUUUCCCCUUGACUCCACAAUAAGACAAUGUCAGAGUGACAGCCGCCAGCAUCCCCUGGCCUUCCUCGUUGUAAUUCUAUUGAAUAUCAAUGGCAAAAGCAUUUUGCAGCUGACUGUUUUUCCUCUGACACUACGGUUUCUGACUGGGAAGCAGCCUACCAGAUUUUUGGCUGUACUGAUUGUACAUUCCUCUCAGCAUCAAGGAACAUUUCUCUAUCAUGAGGAAAAGGAUGGCUGAUGUGGCCAAGCACCUGAUGGAGCCUUUUGUGACUGACAAAUGCCAAGUACUGUAUUCUCUAUCUCCACUUUGUCCUGCCCCCAAAAUUGGAAAAUCCAGUUGAGGAGUGUUCAUCCAGCUAAGGACACAGACUCCUUUUAUCAAGAAAUGUAGUUGAUGAUUACGUUGCUCUGUAUUUGGAGAGAGAUUAUGUCAAUGUGUUACGUGGACUUCUUUGAAAGAUGAGUUGUGUUCACAAAGAAUGUUUGCGUAUAGGGGAAAAUAGGCUCCUUAGGAAUAUUUAAAAGCUCUCUAAGGAAGGUUUAAGAAAUCUUGUCAGAAAUAGGCAAAUCACCCUAAUCUUCCAUUCAGUAUGGUGGCAGAAUUUGUACAAGUGCUUCUGUAAGUCUCUGAGAACAUCAUUGUUUAUGUUUAUCUAUUGCAGCAGCUUUCCCUGUCUAGGAGUAAGUGUAUUUAAAUCUUCCUAUUAAAUUGUUAGCUAAAGAAGUCUGGUUUUGGCACAGCAAUGGUGCCUUGCCAUCUGACAAUACAUCCUCCUGACCAAACUCUGAAGUGGUAGACACCUGUUUUUCAAUAGAAUUAGGUAACUGACUUAGUGUGGGUACCUUUUUAUAUUUAGUUUUCUAGGAUUCAUAGCUGUUCAGAAGAUGUUAUUUACAUUUCUGCUUUUCCUAAGCCAUUAAAAAAAUAGCGUACUUCUGGAGCCCUCUUGAUUGCAAAUUAUAAAAAUUAAAAGACUGUCAAAUGUCA